GCUGCCUGACAAAACCCAGGCUCAGUGUGAUCACAGAAAGCCUGAUAACUGGCAGAUGGUUUUGAAACAUCAGAAAUAAAACAAUGUUUUUCACCACCAAUAACCAAGGUUAUGUUGAGAUUGCUAGUUUGCCUGCAGUAAGUGCGUAGGCUGGGGUUGGCAAGAGGCUGGGAGGGGGCCCAGCUGGGACAGCUGACUUCAACUGGCCAAAGCGAUAUUCCACACCACAUAACUUCAUGCCCACAAUAAGAUGAGGAGUUUUUCCAGAGUAGUCAGAGCUUGAUCCACUGGUGAUUCUGUUCCCCAUCCCACUGGGAGGGGCAGUGAGCGAGCCAGUGGGUAGAAGCUUACCCACUGG
Molecule: long non-coding RNA, 358 nt
Organism: Oxyura jamaicensis (ruddy duck)
Lineage: Eukaryota; Metazoa; Chordata; Aves; Anseriformes; Anatidae
Exons: 4
Source: RefSeq, a predicted model, not a curated record